Molecule: ribosomal RNA, 363 nt
Filed under: uncultured bacterium
Lineage: Bacteria
Description: bacterial SSU rRNA
Rfam family: Bacterial small subunit ribosomal RNA
Source: RNAcentral
GUAGUCCACGCCGUAAACUAUGGAUGCUAGCUGUUGGAGGUAUCGACCCCUUCAGUAGCGAAGCUAACGCGUUAAGCAUCCCGCCUGUGGAGUACGGUCGCAAGACUAAAACAUAAAGGAAUUGACGGGGAUCAGCACAAGCGGUGGAUUAUGCUCUUUAAUUCGAUGCUAACCGAUAAACCUUACCAGGGUUUGACAUCUAGGGAAGCACUACGAAAGUAGAGUGUGCCUUUUGGAACCCUAAGACAGGUGUUGCAUGGCCGUCGUCAGCUCGUGUCGUGAGAUGUUUGGUUAAGUCCAUCAACGAGCGCAACCCUUGUGAAUAGUUGUAUUUUUCUAUUCAGACUGCCUUAGUAAUAGGGA